This 76-nucleotide transfer RNA is filed under the name Candidatus Arthromitus sp. SFB-mouse-Japan. Its description in RNAcentral is "tRNA-Ala (TGC) (tRNA-Ala-TGC-1-1)". It matches the Rfam family "tRNA". Rfam says of the family: Transfer RNA (tRNA) molecules are approximately 80 nucleotides in length. Their secondary structure includes four short double-helical elements and three loops (D, anti-codon, and T loops). The record is from RNAcentral. Lineage: Bacteria; Bacillati; Bacillota; Clostridia; Eubacteriales; Clostridiaceae. RNAcentral also lists the same sequence under 6 other names.
GGGGGUAUAGCUCAGUUGGGAGAGCACCUGCCUUGCACGCAGGGGGUCAAGGGUUCGAGUCCCUUUAUCUCCACCA